GACGAACGCUGGCGGCGUGCCUAAUACAUGCAAGUUGAGCGAUGAAGAUUGGUGCUUGCACCAAUUUGAAGAGCAGCGAACGGGUGAGUAACGCGUGGGGAAUCUGCCUUUGAGCGGGGGACAACAUUUGGAAACGAAUGCUAAUACCGCAUAACAACUUUAAACAUAAGUUUUAAGUUUGAAGGAUGCAAUUGCAUCACUCAAAGAUGAUCCCGCGUUGUAUUAGCUAGUUGGUGAGGUAAAGGCUCACCAAGGCGAUGAUACAUAGCCGACCUGAGAGGGUGAUCGGCCACAUUGGGACUGAGACACGGCCCAAACUCCUACGGGAGGCAGCAGUAGGGAAUCUUCGGCAAUGGACGAAAGUCUGACCGAGCAACGCCGCGUGAGUGAAGAAGGGUUUCGGAUCGUAAAACUCUGUUGGUAGAGAAGAACGUUGGUGAGAGUGGAAAGCUCAUCAAGUGACGGUAACUACACAGAAAGGGACGGCUAACUACGUG
RNAcentral lists this ribosomal RNA (497 nucleotides) under uncultured bacterium. RNAcentral's name for it is "partial 16S ribosomal RNA". It matches the Rfam family "Bacterial small subunit ribosomal RNA", at positions 28 to 507 of the family's 1533-position model. The record is from RNAcentral.